RNAcentral lists this ribosomal RNA (384 nucleotides) under uncultured Alphaproteobacteria bacterium. Its description in RNAcentral is "bacterial SSU rRNA". It matches the Rfam family "Bacterial small subunit ribosomal RNA", at positions 9 to 419 of the family's 1533-position model. Lineage: Bacteria; Pseudomonadati; Pseudomonadota; Alphaproteobacteria. The record is from RNAcentral.
GAGUUUGAUCUUGGCUCAGAACGAACGCUGGCGGCAGGCUUAACACAUGCAAGUCGAACGCGUGUAGCAAUACACGAGUGGCGCACGGGUGAGUAACGCGUGGAUAUCUGCCUUUUGGUUCGGAAUAACCCCGGGAAACUGGGGCUAAUACCGGAUGGUUCCUUCGGGAUAAAGAUUUAUCGCCAAAAGAUGAGUCCGCGUACGAUUAGCUAGUUGGUGAGGUAAUGGCUCACCAAGGCGACGAUCGUUAGCUGGUCUGAGAGGACGAUCAGCCACACUGGGACUGAGACACGGCCCAGACUCCUACGGGAGGCAGCAGUGGGGAAUAUUGGACAAUGGGGGCAACCCUGAUCCAGCCAUGCCGCGUGAGUGAUGAAGGCCUUC